AUACUCCCUCCGUCCCUUUUUACAUGUCCACUUUGAAAAAAAAAUUUGUCCCAAAUUACUUGUCCACUUCUCUUUUCAAAGCAACUUUUUGUAUGUUUUUCCAAAAAGUAACAACUUCCAAUGUUUGACUAGCAUAUAUAUACACACAACUCUAUCUAAUUCAUUACAUUUAUUAGGGAUAUGUAUGAAAACAAGAUAUCCAACUAACAUUUUCUUAAGAUGCGUUAUUUUUUCAAAAGGGACAAGUAAAAGGGGACGGAGGGAGUAG
RNAcentral lists this long non-coding RNA (268 nucleotides) under Daucus carota (carrot). Its description in RNAcentral is "long non-coding RNA (DCAR_LNC001586)". The record is from RNAcentral. Lineage: Eukaryota; Viridiplantae; Streptophyta; Magnoliopsida; Apiales; Apiaceae.